Molecule: ribosomal RNA, 301 nt
Filed under: uncultured bacterium
Lineage: Bacteria
Description: partial 16S ribosomal RNA
Rfam family: Bacterial small subunit ribosomal RNA
Source: RNAcentral
CAGUAGCCACGGUAAUACGUAGGUGGCAAGCGUUGUCCGGAAUUAUUGGGCGUAAAGGGCUCGCAGGCGGUUUCUUAAGCCUGAUGUGAAAGCCCCCGGCUCAACCGGGGAGGGUCAUUGGAAACUGGGAAACUUGAGUGCAGAAGAGGAGAGUGGAAUUCCACGUGUAGCGGUGAAAUGCGUAGAGAUGUGGAGGAACACCAGUGGCGAAGGCGACUCUCUGGUCUGUAACUGACGCUGAGGAGCGAAAGCGUGGGGAGCGAACAGGAUUAGAUACCCGCGUAGUCCCUGUCUCUUAUAC